Chelonoidis abingdonii (Abingdon island giant tortoise) is the source of this 100-nucleotide non-coding RNA. Lineage: Eukaryota; Metazoa; Chordata; Testudines; Testudinidae. The record is from RefSeq and is a predicted model, not a curated record.
CAGGGGAAGGGGCAGAGAGGUGCAAGUGGUGGGGCAGGCUGGUCUUAGGGGACGGGGCAGAAAGAUGUUGGCAGGGUGAGUCUCAGGGGAAGGACAGAGA